Molecule: long non-coding RNA, 2194 nt
Filed under: Nicotiana tabacum (common tobacco)
Lineage: Eukaryota; Viridiplantae; Streptophyta; Magnoliopsida; Solanales; Solanaceae
Description: long non-coding RNA (NTAB_LNC012060)
Source: RNAcentral
AUUAUGUAUUGAAUCCCCUUAAUUUCCUGGUAUGCUUACUUUUAUAUAUUUUGAUAUCCUUAACAAAAAUUUUGACUCCGUCACUGACCAUGUUACAGCUAUAAGUCUAACCUUUGCAAAUCUAUUGUUGUUAAGUAUAUAUCUACUGCUUUGAAGGUCAUAGUGGUAUACUACUAAGUAUAAGAAUCAAAUCAGCAGUUCAGCUACUCUCGGAACCUUGUUCAAGAACUAAGCUAAACUCCUUUAGUGUACUUUGAAACACAAGGCAAAGACCACCGUAAGUAUACUUCUCUCUCGGUACUUCAGCAACCAAAACGAAAAUGGUUAUACCUAUUAAUGCUAGUGAAACUGAUAUAGGAACAAAAGUUAAAGAUUUAGCUGUCAAAUUUGCGAAAGGUCCUCCAUUUGGAAACUUACCAAUGGGAUCAUUCCGGAAGGUUAUUUCCGGAUAUAUCCAAGUUUUCAAGAGUAACCAAGUCUGCAAAUGAUUCAGGUACACGAACUUCAGAUAUAUUCAUUGACAAUGAAAGAUUGACCAAAUUCUGUAGCUGUCCUAUUGAGCUCGGAAUUUGUCCUGAGAAUUGAUUUCUUGAUAAAUUUAAAUUGCUUCGACUUCUUAAACUUCCUAUUCCUAAAGGCAAAGAACCAUUAACAAAAUUGGAGGUCAAACUUAGACCUGGUAUACUACCUCUAUUACUCCAAAAAGUUGGUGGAAUAUUGGAACUCAAUGCAUUUGAAUGUAAAUAAACUUCUCUUAAAGAAGAAAGAUUCCCUAAACAACUUGGUAUUUCCCCAGAAAGCUGAUUUUCACUCAAUUCAAUUUUACUAUAUAAGACCUCCGUAUUGCAUAAGCUUUCGGGUAUGGUUCCAUUAAUUUUAUUUGAAGAAAAUCCCAACGUUUGCAAUUUUCUCAUGUUUCCCAUUUCUUGAGGAAUUGAACCAAUCAAUUCGUUCCCUCGAAGGCUUAACCACGACCACNAAGCUUUCGGGUAUGGUUCCAUUAAUUUUAUUUGAAGAAAAUCCCAACGUUUGCAAUUUUCUCAUGUUUCCCAUUUCUUGAGGAAUUGAACCAAUCAAUUCGUUCCCUCGAAGGCUUAACCACACAAGUUACUCAACUUACUGAUUUCAAUAGGGAUUUCACCUCUGAUGCCAUUUCCAAAUGCGAUGAACCUGUCAAUAUAUGCUGAAAGCUAAGGACUUUGUAAAAUUUCCACCAAAUGCAUCAUAUGCUGUUUGUAUACGCUUUAUGUGCUUGCAGGUCGACAACGAAGAAAGGAAAUCUAAUUAAUUCCCCUGUAGAAGGAUCAUUUGUCAAUUGAUUAUCUUGCAAGUUAAUCACUUGAAGCUGCUGUAAGUUUCCAAGAUUGCGAUUUGCGGCCAAGAUCAAGGUAAAUCAUAAAUGAGCUUGGAGAUAUUGGAAAUGAAGCAAGGAAUUUUCUCACUAAACUGGUUUAAUCCAAGAUAAAGGCCAUCAAGAUUUGGAAAGUUAUGACCGAUGUUAGAAGGUAGAGUUCCAGAGAGCUCAUUAACAGUAAGUUAUGUUGCUCCGACUCUCCAAAGAUGUUGCUGGGUACGUGUCAGAUCCUUCAAAAUUAGUGUAUUUUUGGAGGAUCCGACACGGCUACAACAACACUUUGGAGAGUUCGCGCAACAUAGACAGUAAGUGCAAUCUUUUCUAAACCAGAAAUAUUGCAGACAGAACUAGGAAUUUAAUCUGAUAUCUUGUUUGAACAAAGAUAUAUUUCUUUCAAAAUAAUAAGAUUUCCAAAUUCUGUAGGAGUAUUGCUAUGAAGAUUAUUGGCACCAAUAUCUAUCAUCACCAAAGUCGAUGAAUUCCCUAAAUUGUCACACCUUUUUUUUUUCCCCACAACCCUAUUACGAUGUUGAGUUAGAAGAGUUUUUCCAAUUAAAGUGACGUUUUGAAAAGUGAUUAUUUAUUUGGAGUCGCCACUUGGAAUUGAGUUUUGGUGUUCUAAGUCACCUUUUAUCUUGAAUCCCUUAUCAAAAGGAAGGUUUGACUCCUAAUUUAUGGUCUACGAAAACAGAAGACUGGGUAAGGAAUUCUGUUGAUUAAGGGGAAGGUGUAAGGCACCCCUCGAGUCUCGUGGUUCUAGCACGGUCGCUCUAUUGACUAAUGUAAGACCUAAAUCAAUUUUUUGUCUAUUCUUGUAUUUAAUUGAUUAUGACUUGUCCA